This 24-nucleotide non-coding RNA is filed under the name Arabidopsis thaliana (thale cress). The record is from RNAcentral. Lineage: Eukaryota; Viridiplantae; Streptophyta; Magnoliopsida; Brassicales; Brassicaceae.
ACCAAAUGUCGUUAGCUCAAUUGG